This 536-nucleotide ribosomal RNA is filed under the name uncultured bacterium. Its description in RNAcentral is "bacterial SSU rRNA". It matches the Rfam family "Bacterial small subunit ribosomal RNA", at positions 8 to 526 of the family's 1533-position model. The record is from RNAcentral.
AGAGUUUGAUCAUGGCUCAGGACGAACGCUGGCGGCGUGCCUAAUACAUGCAAGUCGAGCGGAUCUCAGGGAGCUUGCUCCCUGAGAUCAGCGGCGGACGGGUGAGUAACACGUGGGUAACCUACCUGUAAGACUGGGAUAACUCCGGGAAACCGGGGCUAAUACCGGAUAACACCUACCCCCGCAUGGGGGAAGGUUGAAAGGUGGCUUCGGCUAUCACUUACAGAUGGACCCGCGGCGCAUUAGCUAGUUGGUGAGGUAAUGGCUCACCAAGGCGACGAUGCGUAGCCGACCUGAGAGGGUGAUCGGCCACACUGGGACUGAGACACGGCCCAGACUCCUACGGGAGGCAGCAGUAGGGAAUCUUCCGCAAUGGACGAAAGUCUGACGGAGCAACGCCGCGUGAGUGAAGAAGGUUUUCGGAUCGUAAAACUCUGUUGUUAGGGAAGAACAAGUGCCGUUCGAAUAGGGCGGCGCCUUGACGGUACCUAACCAGAAAGCCACGGCUAACUACGUGCCAGCCGCCGCGGUAAUAC